Molecule: transfer RNA, 73 nt
Organism: Phytophthora infestans T30-4
Lineage: Eukaryota; Oomycota; Peronosporomycetes; Peronosporales; Peronosporaceae
Rfam family: tRNA
About the family: Transfer RNA (tRNA) molecules are approximately 80 nucleotides in length. Their secondary structure includes four short double-helical elements and three loops (D, anti-codon, and T loops). Further hydrogen bonds mediate the characteristic L-shaped molecular structure. tRNAs have two regions of fundamental functional importance: the anti-codon, which is responsible for specific mRNA codon recognition, and the 3' end, to which the tRNAs corresponding amino acid is attached (by aminoacyl-tRNA synthetases). tRNAs cope with the degeneracy of the genetic code in two manners: having more than one tRNA (with a specific anti-codon) for a particular amino acid; and 'wobble' base-pairing, i.e. permitting non-standard base-pairing at the 3rd anti-codon position.
Source: Rfam
UCCCAAAUAGUCUAGGCGGUUAGGAUACGUGGCUUUCACCCACGCGACCCGGGUUCGAGUCCCGGUUUUGGAU